GCGUAACACGUGGGUAACCUGCCCUUUGGUGGGGAAUAACCCCGGGAAACCGGGGCUAAUUCCGCAUAAGAUCCGCAAGGAUGAAAGCCGUAAGGCGCCGAAGGAGGGGCCCGCGCACGAUUAGCUAGUUGGUAGGGUAACGGCCUACCCAAGCUAUAAUGAUUAUCUGGGGGGUAGGAGAGGAAUGGCCAGCCACACUGGAACUGAGACACGGUCCAGACUCCUACGGGAGGCAGCAGUGGGGAAUCUUGCGCAAUGGGCGAAAGCCUGACGCAGCGACGCCGCGUGGGGGAUGAAGCUUCUCGGAGUGUAAACCCCUUUCGACUGGGACGAAUACCUCGCAAGAGGGGUGACGGUACCAGUAGAAGAAGCCCCGGCUAACUACGUGCCCGCAACCCGCGGUAAGACGUAGGGGGCCAGCGUUGUUCGGAAUUACUGGGUGUAAAGGGUUCGUAGGCGGUGUGGCAAGUCGGGAGUGAAAUUUCUGGGCUUAACUCAGAGACUGCUUCCGAAACUGCUGUGCUGGAGUGUGGGAGAGGCGCGUGGAAUUGCACGUGUAGCGGUGAAAUGC
This 571-nucleotide ribosomal RNA is filed under the name uncultured bacterium. RNAcentral describes it as "bacterial SSU rRNA". It matches the Rfam family "Bacterial small subunit ribosomal RNA", at positions 108 to 689 of the family's 1533-position model. The record is from RNAcentral.